GCUGAGUUCAAGGCCAUCCUGAGCUACAUGGCUGUCUGUGCCUACGGAAUAUGAGCUCCAAAAGUAGAGACGAGGGCAGGCUGGACCUCCAGUAAAUGGGUGGAAGGAGAAAGGGAGCAAGAGAUCUGUGAGGCUAUCGUAUCUACAGAGCAACAUUUGCUAUGACCCAGCCCGCAGCUGGAGGUGUGGCAUGAAGGGGCCCCAAACCAGAGGAAAAGAGCACAUUGAAAUGCACUACAGAAUCCUUAAUAAUUGCUAACAGCCUCUUCUACCACGCUGUGCUUGCCUGGAAUGGAAGAGGUCACAGACUGAACCCACUGAAAAUGCAAGCCAAGAUAAACUUCUCCUCUUU
Fukomys damarensis (Damara mole-rat) is the source of this 352-nucleotide long non-coding RNA. RefSeq lists it as uncharacterized. NCBI's taxonomy places the organism in Eukaryota, Metazoa, Chordata, Mammalia, Rodentia, Bathyergidae. The record is from RefSeq and is a predicted model, not a curated record. The transcript has 3 exons.